CUACGGGCCGCAGCAGUGGGGAAUCUUAGACAAUGGGGGAAACCCUGAUCUAGCCAUGCCGCGUGAGCGAUGAAGGCCUUAGGGUUGUAAAGCUCUUUCAGCUGGGAAGAUAAUGACGGUACCAGCAGAAGAAGCCCCGGCUAACUCCGUGCCAGCAGCCGCGGUAAUACGGAGGGGGCUAGCGUUGUUCGGAAUUACUGGGCGUAAAGCGCGCGUAGGCGGACUAUUAAGUCGGGGGUGAAAUCCCGGGGCUCAACCCCGGAACUGCCUUCGAUACUGGUAGUCUUGAGUUCGAGAGAGGUGAGUGGAAUUCCGAGUGUAGAGGUGAAAUUCGUAGAUAUUCGGAGGAACACCAGUGGCGAAGGCGGCUCACUGGCUCGAUACUGACGCUGAGGUGCGAAAGCGUGGGGAGCAAACAGGAUUAGAUACCCCCGUAGUC
Molecule: ribosomal RNA, 439 nt
Filed under: uncultured bacterium
Lineage: Bacteria
Description: partial 16S ribosomal RNA
Rfam family: Bacterial small subunit ribosomal RNA
Source: RNAcentral